This 253-nucleotide ribosomal RNA is filed under the name uncultured bacterium. RNAcentral describes it as "partial 16S ribosomal RNA". It matches the Rfam family "Bacterial small subunit ribosomal RNA", at positions 524 to 776 of the family's 1533-position model. The record is from RNAcentral.
UACAGGGGGUGCAAACGUUGCUCGGAAUCAUUGGGCGUAAAGCGCACGUAGGCGGUCUGUUAUGUCGGAUGUGAAAGCCCUUGGCUUAACUGAGGAAGUGCAUCCGAAACUGGCAGGCUAGAGUACUAAAGAGGGUCGCGGAAUUCCCGGUGUAGAGGUGAAAUUCGUAGAUAUUCGCAAGAACACCAGUGGCGAAGGCGGCUCACUGGCCCGGUACUGACGCUGAGACGCGAAAGCGUGGGGAGCGAACAGG